CGUGUGUGUGUGUGUGUGUGUGUGUGUGUGUGCGUGCACGCACAUGCGCACACCCAAAAUCUUGCAAG
This 68-nucleotide microRNA precursor is filed under the name Tupaia belangeri (northern tree shrew). RNAcentral describes it as "miRNA (ENSTBEG00000019799.1)". The record is from RNAcentral. Lineage: Eukaryota; Metazoa; Chordata; Mammalia; Scandentia; Tupaiidae.